RNAcentral lists this transfer RNA (68 nucleotides) under Ictidomys tridecemlineatus (thirteen-lined ground squirrel). Its description in RNAcentral is "Spermophilus tridecemlineatus (thirteen-lined ground squirrel) tRNA". It matches the Rfam family "tRNA". From Rfam's summary of the family: Transfer RNA (tRNA) molecules are approximately 80 nucleotides in length. Their secondary structure includes four short double-helical elements and three loops (D, anti-codon, and T loops). Lineage: Eukaryota; Metazoa; Chordata; Mammalia; Rodentia; Sciuridae. RNAcentral also lists the same sequence under 1 other name. The record is from Rfam by way of RNAcentral.
AGGGUGUUAUCUCAGUGGUAGAGCAUUUGCUUGGCAUGCAUGAGUUCCUGGGUUCAAUCCCCAGCCUG